GUUUGUGCCUUGACUGACUAAGUCGUGACCCGUUAUAUGUGUGAAGUUUGUGCAAAUAAGUAUGUAGUCUGUGUCGUAUAUUAUCUACUCGACGGUGUUCACCAAGACACUUUUUCUACAUAUUUACUUCCGUGAGCAACUUGACAUAUGUCUACCCAAAGUUCGUCUGCCAGAGUUGUUUACGUGUGUGUAGUAGCUUCACGUGUUCACGUUAGCUCGCUAGCCUGCUAUUCUGUUAGCAUUCAUUAACAAAGUGAAUGGACUCUUAGCCACCGUAAUGCUAACCCAGCUCAUACUAUAGGAUCUAGCUCAGUGAUUCCAACGUGGGAACCUGGAGUGCUAUGAGAUACUAAGGCAACUUUUAAAAUUAAGUGAACUCCGGGGGAGAAACCACGCCAUCGUUGAAUCACCUGGACCUUCACUGGAGGCAGAGAGACUGGUAAAAGCUGCAGACUGGCCACUGAACUCCUAAUGAAGAUGGCUGUGCAGGCUGAAAGCUUUCCAAGGAGCAGAGGGAUGCGCUACUUUAUUCUCUGAUAAUUGCAAACGCCUGUGAUAACAAUGUCCAUUGGCCUGAACUGCCACAACAGAAACUCUCACUGGGAGGGUGAGAGAUGCUAGCACUGACUGGGAUCUGAUCCCUCGCUGGCCUCCCACCAUGUCUAUUGUUUUAGACCAGAGGCUGAACUCCAGGUCCCUGCAGCAGUGGCCUCACCCGGCACUCUGCUGUAAGACUGGACUUCCUUCCCUGUACACCGCCUCUCCCUGCUGCCUACAACUACUCCAGCCCACUGCACUUUGUCGCUGCCUUUAGCAGCCUGACUCCCCUGGUCCGGUUUAUCUCUCUGCUGCCUGCCCUACUCCUCUGCUGCCUCAAUGCCCCAGUCCAAUCUCCUCUCCUGCUUAGUUCGACAGUAAACAAUUCCUGUCAAGUGUUCAAACUGUCUCUGAGUCUCGAGUCUACAUUUGAGUCCAGAAGAGAUUCACUGAAUAGAACGGAAAAUGAUAACUGCUUUAAUCAAAAUACCAUUGGAUUUUUUCAAAUCUUGGAUGGACUAUAUUUGCAUACAUAGGGAUUUAUUAACACGUUUUAACUGCUUCAAUGAAAUGCAAUUCCCACAACUUGCUUUUCCAUGCUACAGUUCACUGUAAAAAAAUGUAUUAUAAUAAAAUAAAAAAUAAAUAAAAAACUGGACAAGUAACCACUCCAGGGUUCUUUGUGGCUGCUCCUGUCAAAGCAUUCCUGGGGUAUUGUCAGUUCCCAAACUCUGUGACCCUGAGAAGAAAUAAGAAGGUAUAACAAUGAAAGAAAUAAUAAGUGAAUGAACCAAUGGAAUACUCACACACAUAAAAUCACUUAGAGAACUAAACUGCAGGUUAUUCGACUGUACCGUCAUGCACUGGCUCUAUUGUUGCAUUAAAAUUGAGACACCUGGGGCGACCCGAUGGCCGAGUGGUUAGGGCGCAUACCACAUGGGUGUAAAAUCCCCUCAGCAGUAGGACCCCAUUUCAACUCUGAAGAAAAAAAAAAUUGAGAAACCUGGAAGUCAAUGUGCUUUAAAAAGAAAAAAAAAAAGUUUCAGAAGUUGUUUUGCAGUGAGCCAAAAAUGCUGUGUGCAUAACGGCCUAGUGGAAAGCAUUCUAUCUUUUUGGCCAUGAUGUGUGAUACAGUAGCCUGAACAUUGAGAGGAGAAACAAGCUGCAGAAAAUAAUGAACAUGGCCUCUGAAAUCUUAGGAAAGCCACAAAAGCAGCUAAGUAGUAUGUAUGAUGAACUCUUAAGAAGUAAAGCUGACAGAAUUAUUAAUGAGCCGUCUCAUCCGCUGUACAGUGGAUAUGAACUUUUAUCCUCAGGGAGACGUAAGGUCACUGAUGGCUAAUAGAAAUAUCCACAAGAAAUCCUUUGUCCCAAAUGCUGUCAAGGUAAUAAAUGAAACAGGAUGGCGCUCCUGACUUUACUGUAGUUUUUUGCACGGUAGGUUAAUGAGAUAUGGUGUAUGGAGUAGAUUUAUGUACUGCGAGUUGUAUUUUAGGUUGUUUUUUUAAUGCCAUUUCUUAUGGUGAAACCAAAGGCAAAUCUCCACAUUGUGCAUAAUGAAGUUUUUUUUUUUUUUUUAAGUUACUAAAUCUUUCAAAUCAUGUAAACCUGCCAGGACAAAAAAAAAAAAAAAGGAAAGAAAAGAAAACAAACAAACAAAAAAAAAACCUUUUCACCCUUGACUUCCAUAUCGCUCAACAUCAUUGUUAAUUAACUCGGAGUGUUAAAAUCAACACUGUGCUGGUGUUUAUGCAAAAUUUAUGUAACACUCAGUGGCCCUAGAGCCAUAUCCACCCUGUUAAUGUACCACCAACCCUCCAAUCAACACUUGUCAUCUCAAAAUAAGUACUACUGGAUAAGCGCUUCAUGUAAGACACUGAGAUUUCUGGACUCACCAAAUCUCUCCCUCCAGGAUUAUUUUUUGCAGCGGAGGUCUCAAGCAGCAGGGUGCCCUUGUAUCUUUCAGUUUUAUAUGGACCAUGACUGCCAGGCCAGAUCCUAACUGGUCUGGUUCUUAACAUUGAGGAGCCCGAUACCCAAGGUUUUCCCCCAGGACCUGAACAAAAUGAAGCAGUUCCACACUGUACCUGUAGGCACUUUAAGCAGCAGUGUUGUGUCGAAAAACUGUAAUCUUAACCCUAAACCUCCUGGGGCAAAAAGAGUCAGACCAGUGGUUGGCAUAGUGAGGACAAUGGCCAUUGAUACAGUAUAUACUCAUGGCCACAGCACGGCCUGGGGGGGUCAGAAACCGCAUAUU
This is a long non-coding RNA of Seriola aureovittata, 2794 nucleotides long. RefSeq lists it as uncharacterized. The transcript has 4 exons. The record is from RefSeq and is a predicted model, not a curated record. Lineage: Eukaryota; Metazoa; Chordata; Actinopteri; Carangiformes; Carangidae.